RNAcentral lists this ribosomal RNA (465 nucleotides) under uncultured bacterium. RNAcentral's name for it is "partial 16S ribosomal RNA". It matches the Rfam family "Bacterial small subunit ribosomal RNA", at positions 28 to 507 of the family's 1533-position model. The record is from RNAcentral.
GACGAACGCUGGCGGCGUGCUUAACACAUGCAAGUCGUACGGUAAGGCCCUUUCGGGGGUACACGAGUGGCGAACGGGUGAGUAACACGUGAGUAACCUGCCCACAACUUUGGGAUAACGCUAGGAAACUGGUGCUAAUACUGGAUAUGUGCCCCUGCUGCAUGGUGGGGGUUGGAAAGCUCCGGCGGUUGUGGAUGGACUCGCGGCCUAUCAGCUUGUUGGUGGGGUAGUGGCCUACCAAGGCGGCGACGGGUAGCCGGCCUGAGAGGGUGACCGGCCACAUUGGGACUGAGAUACGGCCCAGACUCCUACGGGAGGCAGCAGUGGGGAAUAUUGCACAAUGGGCGCAAGCCUGAUGCAGCAACGCCGCGUGCGGGAUGACGGCCUUCGGGUUGUAAACCGCUUUCAGCAGGGACGAAGCUUUUUGUGACGGUACCUGCAGAAGAAGCACGGGCUAACUACGUG